This is a long non-coding RNA of Lucilia sericata (common green bottle fly), 882 nucleotides long. RefSeq lists it as uncharacterized. Lineage: Eukaryota; Metazoa; Arthropoda; Insecta; Diptera; Calliphoridae. The transcript is spliced from 3 exons. The record is from RefSeq and is a predicted model, not a curated record.
ACUAAAUUUUAAUUGCAAGUUAAAGUCGUAUCAGUUAAGUUCGCAAAAUUUGAAGUUUUCAUUUUCGAAAAUACAAUUGAAAUAUUUUCUAUAGAAUUUUUAUUUAAAAAUGGGGAAAUCUAAAAAAUACUCAAUAUUACUGAAUAAAUCGCUUCGAUUUGGUUGAUCUCGCCCAACAGGAAUCUUAAUAGAUUUCACCUUCCCGUUACAAGUCCAGUAUUGUAUUCAACUGAACUAUUGUGGCUCUUGUGCAGCACCUCACCACAACAUGUCCAGUAUCAAGCCAUUUAUGUCCAACAAAACUAUUGUGGUUUUUCCAAGCCACUUCGUUCUAAACAUUGAACAGUCCCAUAUAUUUGUCCAGAAAGAUUAUAAGUAGAAUCUACAACAAUAGUUGGACAAUGAGGAAUCGGAUCGGAAUCACACAAGUCAACGCUCCAAAAUGAUAUCUCAUUUCUUCGAAUUUGUGCAUGCACUAUUUAUAUGGACUACAGGAAAAUCUAAUAAAAAUUCCGAAAAACAAGACGACGAGGCAAAAGAGUUUUUACAAAAUGGCUGUAAUUCUGUAAUUGAGAUUGAGGCCGAAGAAGAUGAUGAAACAAAUUUGGAGGCCAUUGCAAUAAACAUGAAUAAUAAUUGUGCUGCAAAAGAAUACAUUUUUGAAUCUCAAAAAGAUGAACAACAAUCGGAGAACAGCAUAUCCAUUGUACUAAAAACACUAUCAGAACUACUAGGAAAAUGUUCAUAUCACAUUGGUUUAAUAAUCGUUAAAAUUGUAAUUAUCAUAAUAGUAUAUAUCCAAAACAAUCGAAGUGCUAAAAUCAAUAAUUAUACAACAUCAUCAUAAACAUCUUAAAAUAUAUAUGUACAUACUAUACGAUC